UGGGGAAUAUUGCACAAUGGGCGCAAGCCUGAUGCAGCCAUGCCGCGUGUAUGAAGAAGGCCUUCGGGUUGUAAAGUACUUUCAGCGGGGAGGAAGGGAGUAAAGUUAAUACCUUUGCUCAUUGACGUUACCCGCAGAAGAAGCACCGGCUAACUCCGUGCCAGCAGCCGCGGUAAUACGGAGGGUGCAAGCGUUAAUCGGAAUUACUGGGCGUAAAGCGCACGCAGGCGGUUUGUUAAGUCAGAUGUGAAAUCCCCGGGCUCAACCUGGGAGCUGCAUCUGAUACUGGCAGGCUUGAGUCUCGGAGAGGGGGGUAGAAUUCCAGGUGUAGCGGUGGAAUGCGUAGGGAUCUGGAGGAAUACCGGUGGCGAAGGCGGCCCCCUGGACGAAGACUGACGCUCAGGUGCGAAAGCGUGGGGGGCAAACAGG
This 429-nucleotide ribosomal RNA is filed under the name Chloroflexota bacterium. RNAcentral describes it as "Chloroflexi bacterium partial 16S ribosomal RNA". It matches the Rfam family "Bacterial small subunit ribosomal RNA", at positions 355 to 776 of the family's 1533-position model. The record is from RNAcentral. Lineage: Bacteria; Bacillati; Chloroflexota.